GCCUAACACAUGCAAGUCGAGGGGCAGCAUAAAAAUAGCUUGCUAUUUUGGUGGCGACCGGCGCACGGGUGCGUAACGCGUAUGCAAUCUACCCUAUACUGAGGGAUAGCCCGGAGAAAUUCGGAUUAAUACCUCAUAGUAUUUAUGAGUCGCAUGGUUUAUAAAUUAAAGGUUACGGUAUAGGAUGAGCAUGCGUCCCAUUAGCUAGAUGGUAAGGUAACGGCUUACCAUGGCAACGAUGGGUAGGGGGCCUGAGAGGGUAGUCCCCCACACUGGUACUGAGACACGGACCAGACUCCUACGGGAGGCAGCAGUGAGGAAUAUUGGUCAAUGGGCGCAAGCCUGAACCAGCCAUGCCGCGUGAAGGAAGAAGGAUCUAUGGUUUGUAAACUUCUUUUAUUUAGGAAUAAACUCUCGGACGUGUCCGAGCCUGAAGGUACUAAAUGAAUAAGCACCGGCUAACUCCGUGCCAGCAGCCGCGGUAAUACGGAGGGUGCAAGCGUUAUCCGGAAUCAUUGGGUUUAAAGGGUCCGCAGGCGGUCUUAUAAGUCAGUGGUGAAAUCUCGUAGCUUAACUAUGAAACUGCCAUUGAUACUGUAGGACUUGAAUUCGGUCGAAGUGGGCGGAAUAUGACAUGUAGCGGUGAAAUGCGUAGAUAUGAUACAGAACUCCAAUUGCGAAGGCAGGCUACUAAACCAUAACUGACGCUGAGGCACGAAAGCGUGGGGAUCAAACAGGAUUAGAUACCCUGGUAGUCUACGCCCUAAACGUUGCAUACUCGGUUUUGGCGAUAUACAGUCAGGACCCAAGCGAAAGCGUUAAGUAUGCCACCUGGGAAGUACGAUCGCAAGAUUGAAACUCAAAGGAAUUGACGG
Molecule: ribosomal RNA, 875 nt
Filed under: uncultured bacterium
Lineage: Bacteria
Description: bacterial SSU rRNA
Rfam family: Bacterial small subunit ribosomal RNA
Source: RNAcentral